GUAGUCAGAUUCACAUCAAUUUAUAUAUAUUGAGGUGGAUUAAAGUAAAAUUUAAACUAAAUUCCACCUUAAUCCACUUUAAUAUAGAUGGAUUGAGAUGAAUCUGACA
MicroRNA precursor from Sorghum bicolor (sorghum), 109 nucleotides. It matches the Rfam family "MIR5565 microRNA precursor family". Lineage: Eukaryota; Viridiplantae; Streptophyta; Magnoliopsida; Poales; Poaceae. The record is from Rfam.